UGGUUUUCUCAACUGCAGACUCUCCUUAUGCUUUUGGCACCAAUUCAUGAAAACAGCUUUGUUUGGGAUAACAGGAACCAAUGUCAAGCUCAACCAAAUUUGAGCCAAUUUCAAAUUCCACUGGGUAAAGGGACUUUGUUGAGCACAGAGAGGGACACCAUGAACUGGAUGUUUUGCCAAAUGUCAAAAAGGAAAUGUUUAAAACUUUCUUAAUUUUUUUAAAGGGAUUUAAUUGAUUCAAUGUUUUAUCAGAACCUUUUAAUGAGAUUUAACCCUAAAAAUCCAAGCCUGAGAAUUUUUCUUUUUGCAUUACAGAGGGAUGUAACUCAGACUUAUAAUGGGACUGUAACAUUAACUAUAAUGAAACCAUCACCUUAAUUUAGUCAAUACCAACCACCUGCAGAUCCAGAAUUGAAACUCUGGUCCCAUAGUUUCAAACUCAAAGCCUUCACCAUUUGAACUCAGAGAUAACUACUGUUACCUAUCACUUACAUAAGGAUCCUUAGGUUACUCCUAAAUUGCAAUUCGUUAGUGCUCAAAUAUACAAAGCUCAUUCCAACUCCCACUGAUCUCAUGAAAGACAUUUUUAUGCAGCUCUGCCACCUCAGUCAGGUUCCUAGACAGCUUAGCUCCUAGAAGAGAUAUGUUUUAAGGAGCUUCCCCUACUGCAGCCAAUAUGGAAUGCAAAGUAAAGCAAGUUUCCAUUGCAUAGAUUGAGGAGACAGAGGUAGGUUUUGUGUAGAGAGGAUUUAAUCUCUGCAAUACAGAAAGUCUGGAGGAACAUGCAUAAAAGUUCAGUGAAAGAAAAGUAUGUAAGUGCAGGAGGCCAGGAGAAAGUAACAAGGAGUUGGGAAAUGGACUCUGGAAGAUGUAUCAACAAAAAACAAAAAGUUGUUUUGGAGACCUGAAUGAAAUGGAAAGGUCAAAAAAGAGGGCAGAGUCUUUUUAUGAAGAACCCCUACAAAUACCUUUUUGGUGAGAGAGAUCCUAGAGUACUUCAAUGAAACCUGUGGUUACUGUUAUUAGUAUUUAUUUCAAGUGUUCUGCUCUGAAAAUAAAUAGAUUUCACUGAACCAAUUACCCUA
Long non-coding RNA from Gavialis gangeticus (Gharial), 1085 nucleotides. RefSeq lists it as uncharacterized. NCBI's taxonomy places the organism in Eukaryota, Metazoa, Chordata, Crocodylia, Gavialidae. The record is from RefSeq and is a predicted model, not a curated record. The transcript is spliced from 2 exons.